AAACCGACGAUCAGUAGGGGUUCUGAGAGGAAGGUCCCCCACAUUGGAACUGAGACACGGUCCAAACUCCUACGGGAGGCAGCAGUGAGGAAUAUUGGUCAAUGGGCGGAAGCCUGAACCAGCCAAGUAGCGUGCAGGAUGACGGCCCUAUGGGUUGUAAACUGCUUUUGAAGGGGAGUAAAGUGAGUGACUUGUCAUUCAUUGCAAGUACCCUUGGAAUAAGGACCGGCUAAUUCCGUGCCAGCAGCCGCGGUAAUACGGAAGGUCCGGGCGUUAUCCGGAUUUAUUGGGUUUAAAGGG
This 300-nucleotide ribosomal RNA is filed under the name uncultured Prevotella sp. RNAcentral describes it as "bacterial SSU rRNA". It matches the Rfam family "Bacterial small subunit ribosomal RNA", at positions 270 to 567 of the family's 1533-position model. The record is from RNAcentral. Lineage: Bacteria; Pseudomonadati; Bacteroidota; Bacteroidia; Bacteroidales; Prevotellaceae.